This 26-nucleotide ribosomal RNA is filed under the name Lagenidium sp. PWL-2010i. RNAcentral describes it as "partial small subunit ribosomal RNA". The record is from RNAcentral. Lineage: Eukaryota; Oomycota; Peronosporomycetes; Pythiales; Pythiaceae.
ACGUGAACUUGUUCUUAUUAGGUUUU